AGCGAACGCUGGCGGCAGGCCUAACACAUGCAAGUCGAACGAACCUUUCGGGGUUAGUGGCGGACGGGUGAGUCACACGUGGGAACGUGCCUUUAGGUUCGGAAUUACUCAGGGACACUUGUGCUAAUACCGAAUGUGCCCUGCGGAGGACAGAUUUAUCGCCCUUAGAACGGCCCGCGUCCGAUUAGCCAGUUGGUGGAGGUAAUGGCUCACCAAGGCGACGAUCCGUAGCUGGUCUGAGAGGAUGAUCAGCCACAUUGGGACUGAGACACGGCCGAAACUCCUACGGGAGGCAGCAGUGGGGAAUCUUGCGCAAUGGGCGAAAGCCUGACGCAGCCAUGCCGCGUGAAUGAUGAAGGUCUUAGGAUUGUAAAAUUCUUUCACCGGGGACGAUAAUGACGGUACCCGGAGAAGAAGCCCCGGCUAACUUCGUG
Molecule: ribosomal RNA, 434 nt
Filed under: uncultured bacterium
Lineage: Bacteria
Description: partial 16S ribosomal RNA
Rfam family: Bacterial small subunit ribosomal RNA
Source: RNAcentral